Molecule: long non-coding RNA, 3233 nt
Organism: Gallus gallus (chicken)
Lineage: Eukaryota; Metazoa; Chordata; Aves; Galliformes; Phasianidae
Exons: 2
Source: RefSeq, a predicted model, not a curated record
UGCAGCUCCCGUGGAAAGAAUUGUUGCCAGGGUUUCAGCGGUGACUCACAGCCUCCGAGACAGGAUCCCUUGUUAGCAGGGGGCUGUCUGGGGAACGCUCGCCCCGCGUUGCCAGGCGCCUCGACCAGAGGGACCUGCACCUCCUCCCGCUGCUUCCAUUUGUUUUCCGAAACACGGUCCGGGUGUACGUGCAUGGGGCUGAGCAAUGUGUGUCCCUAAAGGGCUCUGUUUUAAGAGACAGGAGAGGCUGGGGAGGGUCUGCAUGCAGAUAUCUGGCUGUGCCACCGAGUGUCCUGGGGGUUACCUGUGGCCUUUUGCUGCCUGGAUGUCCUUGGCAUGCUGGGGGCCCGGCAUGGCAGGGUGAUGUUGGGCUGUCCUUGACCAGGCGUGCACCCCUAGGAAGGAGAAUUUGGGAUGGGCAGGGAACAAACUCGCUCAAGCUAUUUUAGCUCUCACUUUCCCUCCAAGCUUUAAGGCAUGCUUUAACCUUCAAGGUAUUCUUCUGUUUUCUUUCCAACAUCUGAUUUGGAAGGCUUUUCUUUCCAACAAAAUAGGAACAAAGUUGUACUUCCCCCCAUGCCUUGGCUGAGGCAGUCUGCCACCCCCAGCCCAAGGCCCCACAUCCAAGGGAAGACCUGUGAAGGAGGAGGUCCAUCCCAGGGCGAUGCAGUCGGUUUGCCUGGGUUGGGAUGGAACAUCCAUGCUGAGCAGGAAGGGAGCUGCUCCUGCCGGGCUGCCUCACCACGUCCCAGCAGCCCCUGUCAUUUCUGAGAUAGAUUUGCUCAACUCAAUUCAUCCUCAGCCUCCAAACAGCUCACAGAGGCCCAGAGAACAAAGGAAGAAACCUCUUCUCCCUUCAGCAGCACUUCCCUCCUCGUGCUGCUGGGUUUUGAUGUCCAUAAGUCCCUCCUCCCCAUGGAAGACAAAACCCAAGAAAGAAAUCAUGGGGCUUAUUUUCUGAGGCCAGAGUCCUAGCGGGACCUCAUUUUAAAUCACCUAAAUUUGAGGGAUAUGUAUUUUAAAUGCGACGCUAUAAAAACCCAGUAAAUAUUUAAUUUUAUUUUUAUUAAAUACUAAAAUGAUGAUGGCUGACACUUUAUUAAAGUGUCAAAGUGAGUGUUCCUACAUUCUAAUUACUUAUCCUAACAAGGAGGCAGCCUCGUCAGGAGCCGCACGCUGGCGUGCGCAGGCGAGGGGCACUCCCGUUAAGUAACACCUAUUAAACUAUCAUUUGCACCUUGAGGCAUCUCAUUAAUAUCUCAACUGGUGAGACUGCACUGCCAGUGCCUACCUGACCCGGGGCACUGACAGGAGAAAUGGCUCCAGGAGUCCCUUCCUCACUCCAGGCUUUCCCGCACAAAUAAUUCCUAUAAAAUUAAUAAUGGCUAUUCCACUUAAUUGAAUUCCUGAUAAAUGAAGAUUCUUCCAAGCCCCUUUUACAUACAUCCAAGAGAUGCAAGAGGAUUGCUGCACUAUGCUAUGGGGAAAGUUUUGUUCUCCACUCUCCUCCUUGCUUUCUUUAUCUCUCCAACCCUCUUUCCACCCUACCUGUGUCCUCCUGCUCCCUCCCCAUCAGUCUUUUCCUCCUCCUCCCAUACCUGCCUUCUCUCUUCUGCAGCAAUUUCUCUUCCGACUCUUCCAUUUGGCUCCCUCCCACUUCUCCAACUCUGCCAUGAUCUAUCUUUACGGUAUCACCACCAUUCAUCUUCCUUCUAUAGGUUUCUCUUUUCUCUCUUCUCUCCCCAUCUUUCUUGCCCUUUCUCCUGGCUUCCAUUUUGCUUUUCAUCCCACCAAUAACAGCCAUUUUUCUCAGGUUUCCUUUCAGGCCUUGGCUAUGUUACCUUGGAGGAAUGUUCUCAUGGUGUGAGAUCUCUGUUGGAUGUGGACAUGGCAGCGCAUCUUCAGAUCCAUCUGCCCACCAAGAAGAGAUGUCCUCCCUCAAACUGGAGAUUGCCAUAGCCAAAAAGCCCUCAAGGAAUCUGCAGAUCUUCUCUCAUCCCAUCUUCCCCGUGGAUGGGAAAACAACUGUGUAAGAAGAGAAGGAACCUGUCCUCAAGAUAUGGUCAAAUCUGUCACCACCCGGUUGCCAAAUCAUUGCGAGAGAGGAGAGGCUACUUCUUCUGUACUAAAGGUGACUCACAAGCAGCAUCGCUCCGGGAAAGUUAAAAGUGAUAAUUCAAUAAGACUCGAGGAUUGUGUGGGACUCAAGGAGGGAUAAAACAGACUUGCAGGGAGCUCUCUUUCCUCUGUCUCCUAGUGAUGGAUGGAGCUGGAAAACCUGGUCAGUUCAGAGAUGGACUGAUGAGAGAUGGAACGGGAUCACAUCUUGGUGAACACACAGGUAGGUGGGAAGCGGCUGCUCUGUGAUGAUGGCUGAGAGCUCAGCAGGGCUCAAUUAGAGGCUGGGCAUUUGUAUGGAUAGCUAUAUUCAAAGCGUCAGUAUUAAUAAAAAUAUUAUGAAUAUUAAUGUUAACAAUAAUCGAUAUUUUAAAGAAGAAAGAGCAAACAGAGGAAGAGGUCCGUGGAGUGUUUCUGGGUGUCUGUGCCAGGACUCAGCCAACCCACCAGCACUGGGGCACCUGGAAACAGGGCUGUGUUAUCCCCAGUUUGCAGUAGAGUGGUGUGUUUCUGUUCAUGCAUACGCCUGUGGUGGCUUCCAGAAUAGGGUGAGAGCGGUGGGAUGGGCAGAGGAGGAGAGUUAGGCAGAGGAAGAAAAGACUGGUUUUGCAGAGGCAGUAUGAAAGCCAGUGGGGAGGAUGGGAAUGACCUGAAAGGAAGAAGAAUGCGUCAUGUGUGUCCAUGUGUGCCAUGGCUGGAAGUGCAGGCACGUGGUGGCCCAGGACACCGGCUCACCCUGUCUCCAUCACAGAGACACAGUUCUGGGGCUGGGGAUGCAGGACAGGGUGCUGCUCCAGCACUCUGCCUCCCCAUCCUCCUCGCACGGUGGUGGACGGGCCAGGCUGCUCGGAGCUACAGCUGCCCGGCUUCAGCUUAGUGUUUAUUUUCCAGGCUGAAAGGACGCUUGUGAUCCCAAAGCCCUUCUGUGUUUAGCCAGACCUCUCAUUCACUUGCAGAGGAAACCCAUGUCAGCCGCUCCCCUUUGUCUCCCCUGAGCUAUUGCUUUGAAUCUGAAAGGAUUGGGUGCAGAUUUCAAGGGAUGUUCAGACAAAGGCUGUUUGAACAGCACUUGUGUAAAUAAUCCAUGAAAAACUCUUUGAAUAACCUCAAUGAAA